CCCUUAGAUGUUCUGGGCCGCACGCGCGCUACACUGAUGCAUUCAACGAGUUUCUUCCUGGUCCGAGAGGAAUGGGUAACCUUUUGAAAGUGCAUCGUGAUAGGGAUAGACUAUUGCAAUUAUUGGUCUUCAACGAGGAAUUCCUAGUAGACGUAGUUCAUCAGACUGCAUCGAUUACGUCCCUGCCCUUUGUACACACCGCCCGUCGCUCCUACCGAUUGAAUGCUCAGGUGAGCCAUUCGGACUUUCAUCAUGCUGGUUUCCAGUUUUGAUGAAGGAAAGUCUUGUGAACCUUAUCAUUUAGAGGAAGGAGAAGUCGUAACA
This 324-nucleotide ribosomal RNA is filed under the name uncultured eukaryote. Its description in RNAcentral is "partial 18S ribosomal RNA". It matches the Rfam family "Eukaryotic small subunit ribosomal RNA", at positions 1470 to 1796 of the family's 1831-position model. The record is from RNAcentral.